Paramuricea clavata is the source of this 325-nucleotide non-coding RNA. Lineage: Eukaryota; Metazoa; Cnidaria; Anthozoa; Malacalcyonacea; Plexauridae. The record is from the annotation of a GenBank genome assembly.
UAUUGUAUUUGGCAACAAAAGUUAAAAUUUUACCGAGGGGCACUCAGGUCAAAUUUAAUUAGACGAACAAUGUAAAAAUCGCUGACAAAAUCCUUCAUUAUGCCGACAAGAUGUUUUCAGGGGGUGUCACACUCCAACACCACUCUCUAGCAACGGCCCUGCUGACUCAAUGUAUGUAUUAUAUAACAGUUUUAUAUAUUGGAUAUUAGAUACAUAAUACAAUUGUGUAAUCCACUGUAUAUCAGUUGAAGAGGAAGAAAUGUAUUUUACAUGUACAAUAGCCUAAAUUGAGGAAGCUAUUAAGGGCUCAAUGUGGUGUAAAAAC